Molecule: ribosomal RNA, 253 nt
Filed under: uncultured bacterium
Lineage: Bacteria
Description: partial 16S ribosomal RNA
Rfam family: Bacterial small subunit ribosomal RNA
Source: RNAcentral
UACGAAGGGGGCUAGCGUUGCUCGGAAUUACUGGGCGUAAAGGGCGCGUAGGCGGGUCGUCAAGUUGGGGGUGAAAGCCCGGGGCUCAACCUCGGAAUUGCCUUCAAAACUGACGACCUAGAGUAUGGGGGAGGUGUGUGGAACUCCGAGUGUAGAGGUGAAAUUCGUAGAUAUUCGGAAGAACACCAGUGGCGAAGGCGGCUCACUGGCCCGGUACUGACGCUGAGGUGCGAAAGCGUGGGGAGCAAACAGG